Phrynosoma platyrhinos (Desert horned lizard) is the source of this 71-nucleotide non-coding RNA. The record is from the annotation of a GenBank genome assembly. Lineage: Eukaryota; Metazoa; Chordata; Lepidosauria; Squamata; Phrynosomatidae.
UAUUCAGUGUGUAGUGGUUUGUGUGUCAGACUGCAACUCCGGAGACCAGGGUUCAAAUCCCUGCUCAGCCA